Long non-coding RNA from Helianthus annuus (common sunflower), 1366 nucleotides. RefSeq lists it as uncharacterized. The record is from RefSeq and is a predicted model, not a curated record. The transcript has 3 exons. Lineage: Eukaryota; Viridiplantae; Streptophyta; Magnoliopsida; Asterales; Asteraceae.
CAGACAAAACAAACAAACCACACACACACCUGAAUUUCUCUCUCUCGUUCACCCUUUCUGGCGACACUCAAACCGGCGGAGCCGCGGCGGCGGUACGGCGGCGCCAUCGCCGGCGGCGGAGCUCCGGUGACCGAUUUCCGGCGCGUCACGGCGCGUGCGCCCCUCAUUUUCUCCGAUCUACCCUCUAACCCCUGUUCCGGUGUUGGUUUGCGGAUUCGAGCGGCGGAGACGACCACCUUCUUCUCCGGUGGUCUCCUCUGACGAGCACAGCCCCCCUCUCUAAUAUCGGCCGACCACCACUUAUUUGUUGGCGGCGGACGUGUACAGCGACAACCCCCACCACCACAGGCGGCAGCACUGUGGUGGGUGGUGCCAGGCGGUGACAAGAGACGAAGAGAGAGUGAAAGGAUGGUGGUGGUGAGCGGCGGUCGAGUCUCGGACCGGUGGUUCGAGUCUCAGACCGGUGGUUCAUGUCAAGGACCGACGGUCUUUGUUUUUGACCGUCGGGUUUCGUCGAUAAACUUUCCUCCUCUGCUUAUUUCUUUUACAUUCUUUUUUGUUUCUGAAGUUGAUGUUGUUGUCCAGUUGGGUUUGAGUUCGGGUUCACGAUUAGCGGGUUCGGGUCUCAGUCAGCAGGAGAUCGGUAAUGUUUUUGGGGUUUCGGACUAGUAGGUUCGGGUUCAACAUCAGUUUCAAGAUUUAUUUGGGUUGUUUCGGGUCCGUGUGAUGUUCAGUUUCAGGUCACGGUUGGUUCAACUCGGUUUGACUCGGUCAAACCAAGUCAACUCAGUCAUCUCGGGUCAACAGCAAAUUGGCGGUGGUCAAGACGGUUCGGUUCAUGGUUCGGGUUGAUUCGGUCAAACCGAGUCAACUCGGUCAAACCUGGUCAACUCAGUGAGUCAACUCAGUCAGCCCGGUUGACUCGGUCAACUCAGUCAACGAAAGCGGUGCGAAAGACUUGGAAUAUUGUAGAAUGCACGCUAGCAAGUCAAGUCUUGGAAACGACAUCACGAAGUCGUAAUUAGCUAGCUUUGCACAGGAAUAUUCAGAAAUCGUGGCAUGGUUGGAAUAGGAGAACCAUGUGGAGUCGAGUGCUUAGUGGCAUUCAUUUUCUAAAAGACUUAGAUUAUUUGCUUCCGCUGUGCAAUGAAGAUACCAGUCCAGUCACGCCAGCUCUGAUAAUUUCGGGGUGUGACACUUGGAACUAGGGUUAGGUUUGAAGUGGUGAGUAUGUCUACAGUGUAUAGUACGAUCUUCAUUUAUAGGCACAUAAAUCUUAAUAACUUCAAUGAUCGAAGGUAUGGCAUUCGAUAUUUCUUGAGCUAUUAUAUUUUCUAUAGUGCUCCUAUCCAAAGAGUUUCCAUUA